CCUACGGGAGGCAGCAGUGAGGAAUAUUGGACAAUGGGCGAAAGCCUGAUCCAGCCAUGCCGCGUGUGUGAAGAAGGUCUUCGGAUUGUAAAGCACUUUAAGUUGGGAGGAAGGGCAUUAACCUAAUACGUUAGUGUUUUGACGUUACCGACAGAAUAAGCACCGGCUAAC
RNAcentral lists this ribosomal RNA (171 nucleotides) under uncultured bacterium. RNAcentral's name for it is "partial 16S ribosomal RNA". It matches the Rfam family "Bacterial small subunit ribosomal RNA", at positions 338 to 501 of the family's 1533-position model. The record is from RNAcentral.